CAUUAAUGGUACGUGAAAAAUCACGUAGCCACUAAAUUUCACUCACACCACUCAUUUUACCUGAUAUCUAUAAAAAGUAAGAAGUGGCACAUGGUUCUUGACUGAAAACUUUUUUAAUUAAACCAAAAUAAACGAUAACCAUCGGAGUAAUAUGGAUGGACAUGUCCCAGCUUUGUUGCAGCUCCAGCUCAACAAAUGCAAAAAUUAGGCUGCCAAGUGUGUGUACACUGUUAUAUGCUUGCCCUCGUCCUUCCCGGAAGGGUUCAGCAUGUGUCGCAAUACCAUUAGGAUGCAUAAAAUCAAAGAAAAACAAGGGCCACUGACUGAGUCGCCCCCCAUUAGUUUCCGUAUUUUGCCCAUUUGCCAAGGGAACAAGCGACACUUUUCGCAUGAUUAAUGGAUCUGCCAAUGGAGGUACGAAGGAUAAUCCCACCGACAAAUACUGCAGGAUGCAAGCUUCACGGCCCAAAAUCUACAUCAACAAACCAAUCAUCAGUUUUUUUGUUUCUUGCGUUAAAUUAUUUUACUGUCCAAGACUUAAAAACUAAGCUGAUCAGAAUUACGUUCUGAUGAACAGAACCUUACAUAAUAAGGUUCAUAAUAAGUCAUAAUAAGCUGUAUACUACCGGCAUUAUAUGAAUCGGAUUCCGGAGGAUAAUGUUGAAAAUAAAUGGAAAUUGUUUGGAAGAAACAACUAAAUUGGCUAUUUCCCUGAGUAUUUUCUUGCGUCUAAAAUUGCGGACUUAAAUAUAACAAAAGGCAAUCGAGUGUCUCAGCGGUGAUGUAGGUAAUUGCUAUGUAUGUACUCGCAGCAUCAGAGCAGACAAUCUUGGGUAGGUGGAUUUGAAUUUAGCUCAGCACUAAGAAAUAUUUGGUGGGAAAUUUCUAUCGAAGCAUAGCUGGAUGUGAUUGAAAGCAAUAAUAUUUUUUAUGGAAGUGGUUAACAUUUCUUUUCUAUGUGACAAUGUUAAGUUGUGAAUGCUUUUGUGAUAAAAGAAAGUGCACGGCAGUGAUUGUAAUUGU
Molecule: long non-coding RNA, 1023 nt
Organism: Armigeres subalbatus
Lineage: Eukaryota; Metazoa; Arthropoda; Insecta; Diptera; Culicidae
Exons: 3
Source: RefSeq, a predicted model, not a curated record